GAGUAAAACAAGAAAAUAGAAGUCAAUACAGGAGGUAAUUGAAUCAUUGAACAUACUCUAAAAAGUGUAAUAUAUAAAAAUUACAUAUAGUUCUUCAAUUAUAGGAAAAUCAGGAUUUCACAUACAAUCCUAAGAACCCAUACAAGAAAGAAUAAUGCUUAAGUGAUACAGGAAAUUCCCUGAAACGACUGCCCAAUGGUCAAGAAUAUGACAACAGUAUAACUGUGGCCAAAACAAAUAAUGGAAAAAUGUGAAAUAAAUUAAUCCUUAAUUCUCA
This is a long non-coding RNA of Felis catus (domestic cat), 277 nucleotides long. RefSeq lists it as uncharacterized. Lineage: Eukaryota; Metazoa; Chordata; Mammalia; Carnivora; Felidae. The record is from RefSeq and is a predicted model, not a curated record. The transcript has 2 exons.